RNAcentral lists this ribosomal RNA (154 nucleotides) under uncultured bacterium. Its description in RNAcentral is "partial 16S ribosomal RNA". It matches the Rfam family "Bacterial small subunit ribosomal RNA", at positions 1348 to 1500 of the family's 1533-position model. The record is from RNAcentral.
AUCAGCAUGCCGCGGUGAAUACGUUCCCGGGUCUUGUACACACCGCCCGUCAAAACAAUGGGAGUGGUGUUUACCAGAAGUCGUUAGCCUAACCGCAAGGAGGGCGGCGACCACGGUGAGCACCGUGACUAAUGUUAAGUCGUAACAAGGUAUC